UACGUAGGGUGCGAGCGUUGUCCGGAAUUAUUGGGCGUAAAGGGCUCGUAGGCGGUUUGUCGCGUCGGGAGUGAAAUCCACUGGCUUAACUGGUGGCUUGCUUUCGAUACGGGCAGACUGGAGGUAUGCAGGGGAGAACGGAAUUCCUGGUGUAGCGGUGAAAUGCGCAGAUAUCAGGAGGAACACCGGUGGCGAAGGCGGUUGCCUGGAGCUUUGCUGACGCUGAGGCGCGAAAGCGUGGGAGCGAUCCGG
This 252-nucleotide ribosomal RNA is filed under the name uncultured bacterium. RNAcentral's name for it is "partial 16S ribosomal RNA". It matches the Rfam family "Bacterial small subunit ribosomal RNA", at positions 524 to 776 of the family's 1533-position model. The record is from RNAcentral.